UUGCAGAAAAUUUGUGAAAAAGGGUGCCAUGUGUGGAUAAGAGCUCUGUUAUUCCAAUCAAAAAAAUAAAUUAUACAUAAAAACAUAUAAUUCUCAUCCGAAGCAGGCUCCAGUGGCACCAUUUCUUCCUUUUUUUUGUGUCUUCUUCAAUCUCUCUGUGCAGGCCACACCUUCGGCCUCACUAAUAUCGACCUCUCCAUCCACAGCAGGUGUUUGGAAGGAAGGGAAAGAAAGAAAGGGAAGUGACUCAACUGAUUCGAGUUGGGGGGGAUCAAGAUAGACCGGAACUAAGGAAAAAACGAUGUUAAUUUUUCCCCCUUUGAUCUUUCUUCCUCUUCUUCUCUUUUUGUUUUUUAAGGAUGAUGGGCCUUAGAGAUGGUGGAGAAUCACAUCCACAAGAAGCUGUUGGGAGAAGUAGGAGGAUAGAGAUAGAGAGCGAAGAAGGAAAAUGGAGGGGGUUUUAUUUCUUUUCUUUUGUGGUAGGGUUGGCUGAAUUGAUAGGAUUGGAGAGAGUUCCUCCACCUUUAAGCUUCUGAGAAGACUGCGGAGUCAAUAUUAAUGGAUUUGGAGGCUAGCUGCUAUCAUGCAUGCACAAAGCUAGAGAUAGAAAAGGGAAUGUGCAAUUGAGCAGGCAAUGGAACCGUAAUAGUAUAAUUAUUUGAUGAGAAAUAUUGAAAAGCUCAAAGCUUAGCCUCCAUAUAACUGUGGAGAAAAGAAAAGCGUUGGUCCUCGUGGUGUGGAACGGUUACUUUCUGUCGGUCGCUCUCUCUGUGUGCUUUACGAGUUAAAUUAGUGGGCCAGUUUCGUAGAAUGAAUUAGACUAGUCAAAAUGGAUUUUCUUUUUCUUUUUUUUUUU
RNAcentral lists this long non-coding RNA (856 nucleotides) under Phoenix dactylifera (date palm). RNAcentral's name for it is "long non-coding RNA (PDAC_LNC002104)". The record is from RNAcentral. Lineage: Eukaryota; Viridiplantae; Streptophyta; Magnoliopsida; Arecales; Arecaceae.